RNAcentral lists this unclassified non-coding RNA (192 nucleotides) under uncultured fungus. RNAcentral describes it as "sequence contains ITS1, 5.8S rRNA gene". The record is from RNAcentral. Lineage: Eukaryota; Fungi.
AAGAGGUUUUUUGAUGUUUCAUCAAAACUUCCCACCCUUUGUUAUUUCUGUCUGAAAUUACAGCUUCGGUAAGACUGUUUUUGGUGACAAAAACGAUUGACAGUUUGUUACAAAACUGUUGAUUAGUGCUUACCGUUAGCAUAUUAUACUCUGAUAAUUUGAUUGUCUGAAAAACAAAAAAUAAAUUAAUCA